RNAcentral lists this ribosomal RNA (534 nucleotides) under Pseudomonas fragi. RNAcentral describes it as "bacterial SSU rRNA". It matches the Rfam family "Bacterial small subunit ribosomal RNA", at positions 61 to 591 of the family's 1533-position model. The record is from RNAcentral. Lineage: Bacteria; Pseudomonadati; Pseudomonadota; Gammaproteobacteria; Pseudomonadales; Pseudomonadaceae.
GUCGAGCGGUAGAGAGAAGCUUGCUUCUCUUGAGAGCGGCGGACGGGGGGGGUUUACCUAGGAAUCUGCCUGGUAGUGGGGGAUAACUUCGGAAACGGACGCUAAUACCGCAUACGUCCUACGGGAGAAAGCAGGGGACCUUCGGGCCUUGCGCUAUCAGAUGAGCCUAGGUCGGAUUAGCUUGUUGGUGAGGUAAUGGCUCACCAAGGCGACGAUCCGUAACUGGUCUGAGAGGAUGAUCAGUCACACUGGAACUGAGACACGGUCCAGACUCCUACGGGAGGCAGCAGUGGGGAAUAUUGGACAAUGGGCGAAAGCCUGAUCCAGCCAUGCCGCGUGUGUGAAGAAGGUCUUCGGAUUGUAAAGCACUUUAAGUUGGGAGGAAGGGCAUUAACCUAAUACGUUGGUGUCUUGACGUUCCCGACAGAAUAAGCACCGGCUAACUCUGUGCCAGCAGCCGCGGUAAUACAGAGGGUGCAAGCGUUAAUCGGAAUUACUGGGCGUAAAGCGCGCGUAGGUGGUUCGUUAAGUUGG